AGAUUGAACGCUGGCGGCAGGCCUAACACAUGCAAGUCGAGCGGCAGCACGGGUACUUGUACCUGGUGGCGAGCGGCGGACGGGUGAGUAAUGCCUAGGAAUCUGCCUGAUAGUGGGGGAUAACGCUCGGAAACGGACGCUAAUACCGCAUACGUCCUACGGGAGAAAGCAGGGGACCUUCGGGCCUUGCGCUAUCAGAUGAGCCUAGGUCGGAUUAGCUAGUUGGUGGGGUAAUGGCUCACCAAGGCGACGAUCCGUAACUGGUCUGAGAGGAUGAUCAGUCACACUGGAACUGAGACACGGUCCAGACUCCUACGGGAGCAGCAGUGGGAAUAUGGACAAUGGGCAAAGCCUGAUCCAGCCAUGCCGCGUGUGUGAAGAAGGUCUUCGGAUUGUAAAGCACUUUAAGUUGGAGAAGGCAAGUUACCUAAUACGUAUCUGUUUGACGUUACGACUAGAAUAGCACGCUAACUCUGUG
RNAcentral lists this ribosomal RNA (478 nucleotides) under uncultured soil bacterium. RNAcentral describes it as "bacterial SSU rRNA". It matches the Rfam family "Bacterial small subunit ribosomal RNA", at positions 26 to 507 of the family's 1533-position model. The record is from RNAcentral.